This 211-nucleotide long non-coding RNA is filed under the name Lathyrus oleraceus (garden pea). RNAcentral's name for it is "Pisum sativum (pea) long non-coding RNA (PSAT_LNC027776)". The record is from RNAcentral. Lineage: Eukaryota; Viridiplantae; Streptophyta; Magnoliopsida; Fabales; Fabaceae.
GGAGGUUGAUUAAGGAGGUGCGAGAAAGAUUGAUCUAGGAAGAGCGAGAGAGGAUGCAUCAGAAGGAACGAGAGAGGUUGACUGAGGAGUAGCGGGAUAAGUUGAUCGAAGAUAUGUGACAAAAGUGUAUCUGAGAUGUGAUUGAGGUAAUUAUAGGCUUGGUUUAAACAAAUUGUAUUGUGUGUUGUUGUUGAUUGUGUAUUUAAAUUUA